GAUGAACGCUAGCGGCAGGCUUAAUACAUGCAAGUCGUACGGGAUCCGAGGUAGCAAUACUUUGGUGAGAGUGGCGCACGGGUGCGUAACACGUAUGCAACCUACCUAUAACCGGGACACAACCUCGAGAAAUUGUGGCUAAUAUCCCAUAACACUGCGAAAUGGCAUCAUUUUGCAGUUAAAACUCCGGUGGUUAUAGAUGGGCAUGCGCGACAUUAGCUAGUUGGUGAGGUAACGGCCCACCAAGGCUACGAUGUCUAGGGGUUCUGAGAGGAUCAGCCCCCACACUGGGAAUGAGACACGGACCAGACUCCGACGGGAGGCAGCAGUAAGGAAUAUUGGUCAAUGGGCGCAAGCCUGAACCAGCCAUGCCGCGGGAAGGAUGACGGCCCUAUGGGUUGUAAACUUCUUUUGUACGGGAAAAAACCACCGGUCGUGUAUCGGUGCUGAUGGUACCGUAAGAAUAAGCAUCGGCUAACUCCGUGCCAGCCGCCGCCGUAA
RNAcentral lists this ribosomal RNA (501 nucleotides) under uncultured bacterium. RNAcentral's name for it is "partial 16S ribosomal RNA". It matches the Rfam family "Bacterial small subunit ribosomal RNA", at positions 28 to 523 of the family's 1533-position model. The record is from RNAcentral.